RNAcentral lists this unclassified non-coding RNA (279 nucleotides) under plant metagenome. Its description in RNAcentral is "partial contains small subunit ribosomal RNA, internal transcribed spacer 1, and 5.8S ribosomal RNA". The record is from RNAcentral.
UCUCCGUAGGUGAACCAGCGGAGGGAUCAUUACAGAGUUGCAAAUCUCACAGACCCUCGUGAACGUUACCUAUCUCGUUGCUUAGGCAUGCGACCCGUGCCCCGCGCGCGGCUCCCCCCGGCCCCCCGUGGGUGCCCGCCGGAGCAAAACCAAACCCCUGAAUUGCAUGGCCCCUCUGCUUCUUCUGUUCUGAAUAAGUCAAAAAUUUCAACAACGGAUCCCUUCGCUCUGGCAUCGAAGACAACCGCAGCAAAUCGGAAACGCACACACCUGAACCAC